Molecule: RNA transcript, 3370 nt
Organism: Glycine soja
Lineage: Eukaryota; Viridiplantae; Streptophyta; Magnoliopsida; Fabales; Fabaceae
Gene name: protein RIK
Exons: 12
Source: RefSeq, a predicted model, not a curated record
AGGAGUACGAAACAGACGACGACGGUUUAAUCUCUGCAUUGUGUCGUUUAACCCAUCUUCCGUAACGCAUCCGUACGACUUUGGGCGUUAGGCACAAAACCCCGUUUCACCGACCAAUCACGUUCGUUCCAACCUACCGACGCUCGCGUGAAUCCUUUUUCGUUUUCGGGUAUCGAAAACGAAGAAGAAGCAUAGAGAACCAAAACGCGACGCAAUUGCACUUUUUCUUCUUCUUUCGCAGCUCAGAAUCGCUCAAACAAUGACAGAGGAUAGCAGCGUUAGGGUUUCUUCUUCCGACAAAACCUCCGCGGCCAACGAUGCUUCGCAGACGCGGCAGAGAAAGAAGAGAAAGUGGGAUCAACCGGCGGAGUCAUUGAUGCCAGUUGGGAUGGCAGUUCCUGGAGCACUCCCUUUGAGCAAUGCCGUGUCUCUUGGAGGGGUUGCAUUUCCUGCCAUGGCUCCGAUGAUCUCCGGAGCUCUUUUGAGGAAUCCUCUGGCAGCUUCUUCUCAGCUUCCGCAACACACAGUUGCAGCUGCUGUUGCCGCACAAAAAUUGAAUCAACAAAAGAUCCAAGAUGAAUUAAUAAUUGCUCGAGAAAUUGUCAUAAAUGAUGCAGAGUCUUCUGUUCGCUACAAGUUGACAAAACGCCAGACACAAGAGGAGAUCCAGAGGUGCACUGGUGCCAUAGUUAUAACUAGGGGGAAGUAUCGGCUACCUAAUGCGCCACAUGAUGGAGGGAAGCCGCUGUAUCUUCACAUCUCUGCAGGAGCUCAUAUAAAAGAGACAGCAGAACGGAUUUUAGCUGUUGAUCGUGCUGCUGCAAUGAUUGAAGAAAUGCUCAAACAGGAGCAAAAUUCACAGUCAAUUUCUUCCGCCUCACCUUCUGCUUUGGUUAAUAUACUGAAGAUGCUGAGUACAUGCGUGUUUUUGGGCUUUGAUGCUGAUCCUUCUUUGAACAUUGUUGCUCGUAUACGUGGACCAAAUGACCAGUAUAUAAAUCACAUUAUGAAUGAAACAGGAGCAACAGUUGUACUGAGAGGACGUGGUUCAGGAAACAAUGAAUGCUUGAAUGGAGAAGAUGGACAGCAGCCCCUGCAUCUGUUUUUGUCUAGUAACAAUGCGAAAAGUCUUGAAGAUGCUAAGCUUUUGGCUGAAAAUCUUUUGGAUACAAUCUGUACGGAGUGUGGUGCUUUAAGGGUUUCAUCAUGUAAGGUUUAUAGUGCUGUUCCACCUCCACAGCAGGUAUACACUGCUGUUCCACCUCCCCAGCAGGUUUAUAGCGGCCCUUCUUUGUUGAAGCAGAUUCCUACUGCCAUUUCACCCCCACAACAAGUUUAUAGCGCUGUUCCACCCCCACAGCAGUUGUUGACUGGAGUUCAGAGUUCUGGAAUUGACCUAGAGGCAGGUACUAGCCUAACCUCUAGUUCAAUGUCAGCAGCUGGGGUCUUGACACCGGUUCCUCCAGCUUCCUUGGUUGGAGUGACUGGUGUCACUGGUUCCCUCACUUUAGGGACUCCACCACAAUCUAUAGGACAUUUAAGCUCUGGGCCUCAAGCAAACAUGAUUGGUUAUACUCCUCCCCCUUUAGUAUCAGGUGGUACUAGCUAUAUUGGAUAUGGCGGAUUAUAUCCUCAAGCUACCCCUUUGCAACAAGUUGCCCUUGCCUUGAGACACUCACCUCCUGUCACAUCUACAGAUGCUCCCACAACAUCAGCAUCAAAUGGAGAAUCCAGGCCAACCUCAAGCUCUGAUCUUGAAAAGGAGAAACGGCCGCCUCAGAGACGAAAAUUUCAAGAAUUGCCAGUUGGUUCAAAAGGCACAACAAAACUCAAUCAGGUAUUUUCUCUGACCUUCUAUGAAGCUAAAAGCCUGACACUGGACCUGUCUGUUGGGCCAUUGGUUUGUAUGUUUGACAGGGUUUUCAGUUUUGGAGGAGUAGGAGGGUGCUUGUGGCUUCACAGCAUAUGCCCUGUCCAAUCCAAGAUGUUAUUCUGAUAUUUUCUUUCAUUGGUAAAAUUGCUGCAAUAUAUUUUGUGGCAUGCUUUUCAGCCAUGCCCUCCUCUAGUCCUGCAUAUAUGGACUGUCAAUUUCCUGAAGAAAAGGGUUUACCAUACCAGCACCAAAUUGAUGCCAAUUCGUUAAAUUGAAAAAAAGACAGUUAGAGAUAGGAGAAAAUAUAAAACUAGAACAUGAGAUAUCAUAGCAAGGUAUAAUAAAAAAGGAAAAAAUAAAAAUUGUUUGUAUGGGCAAAGUAAAUUAAAAAAGCUCUUUCCCUUGAUUGGUUAUCCUUUGAAGAGACACUCUUAGAACAUCUUACACCACCAUUAAUUCUUUUAUGCUACCAAUCAACCCAUUGCUCACUAAAAUAUCCAGUUGUGUGCAAGAUUUUUUAUCAUGAUAUUUUACAUCAAUGCUACAUUUGGUAUUGCUUUUAUCAUUUGCAGUUCAGUCUUAAUUUGACUUUGUAGUUUGGCAUGUUGGAACAAUUAGUAAAGUAUCUGAUUCAAAAGUUGUGUUUGGGUUUUUGUUUUCUCCCACUCUAACUCAAUUGCAGGGAUUGCAACCUCUAAAACCUUAUGAACAAUCUGACGGUCUGGUUGUGAGGAAUAUAUUAACAAUGCCUGCCCCUAAGAAGUUGGUCCCGCCAUCAUCCAAUGGAAUGCCACCUCCUCUACUGAGAACCAUGCCCCCACCACCUCCGCCUAAAUUUUCUGAUCCAUUUGAAGUUAAAGUACACAACAAGAACAAGACUUUGCUUAAGACAAAAUCUGAUGCAGUUCCUGAUACAUUGGUCAACCUAAUGGAAUAUGGAGAGGAGGAUGAUGAUGAUAUAGACGAUUCUAGUGAGGAAUCACUUCCUCAUGACACCCGAGCAACUGGGGUUCAAAAGCCUUUCUGGGCUUUAUGAGCUACAAAGUGCAUAUUGGACGUAGAUAUGUAAAUAUUUAUUUUUUGGGUUGGAACUAGUUCUUGCUGGUUACAUACUCUUCUUCCCCGGGGUGGAAUGGGAAGCCCUUAGCAUGAUUUUUGGAGUGAAAUAGUUGGUUUAGUAGCAUUUUAAAGGUUGUAAUUGCUCAUUCUCAUAUGCUUCGCGAGAGUAGAUUUGUAUGUUGUAAUUUUUUGUCCCUAUUUGAGUAUGCAUGUACACUGGUAGUCUCUUUUCAGUGGUUUAGUAGGCCGCUAAAGUAACGAUGCUGUGAUAAGGAACUGUUUUUUCCUUCUUCCCCCCAUUUUUAUAGUCAGAACCCUGUUAAUUGUUCAUCCUGGGCCCCUGGCUGAGUGAAACUAAGCUUCCAUGUUAGAUUGAACAAGCAAUUGCAAAGCUUGUAUUAUUAUUAUUAUUAUUAUUAUUAUUUUUUACGUGGGUUA